Molecule: long non-coding RNA, 727 nt
Organism: Labrus mixtus (cuckoo wrasse)
Lineage: Eukaryota; Metazoa; Chordata; Actinopteri; Labriformes; Labridae
Exons: 3
Source: RefSeq, a predicted model, not a curated record
AGCGGUCCUUUCAUUCCUUUGACAUAUAUUUUUUUGUAUUAUCGGACAAAGCGAUAUCACAUAACAUCAUGUGUACAAGCGCAUUAUCUUUACUAUUUAUAAUGAAAUAAAAACUCUGAAAAUAACCGCUGUGUACGUUAUGAAUUUCAGUAAAAGGAGUCUUUGUGUUUAUUUUUGACACGACAUGGGAAUAAAAAAGAAAGAAAGAAAGAAAGCGAGUGACUGUGAUUCACUCCAGAGGAGAAUGAAACUCGGGAGACAAAUGUGUGUUUUUGAAGACACUCACGUGAACCCAACAACCAAAAUAGGCCGGACCGAAAGGGGAUCACCAGACAUCGUCCGACGCUGAACACAAACAAGCUUUCUCACGGCUGGUUGUAAACGCUCAUACAUCUGCAUGGGUCUCGAUCCCUAAAUGUUUCGGUUUUGUCUCGGUCUCAAAGCCCUCUGGUCUCGGGUAUGUCUUGGUCUCGGUGAGUCUGGUCUCGACUACAACACUAGUGAACACACCUUAAGGAUUUCAGGAGAGAGAUUAUUUCAGUAGGUACGAGGAAACGGAAAAGAAACCCAGGAGGUCGAGUCAGAAGAAACAACAUCGUUUUACUCUGGUGACACAUCGGAAAAAGAGGAGGAGUUUAAAAGGUUUUCAUCCAACAAGAACAAAGUGAUGAGUGUGUGUUACAACUUUGGGGUUUAUGUUGUAAAAUGUACGACUCUGUUCACUUUC